This 304-nucleotide ribosomal RNA is filed under the name uncultured bacterium. RNAcentral describes it as "partial 16S ribosomal RNA". It matches the Rfam family "Bacterial small subunit ribosomal RNA", at positions 506 to 807 of the family's 1533-position model. The record is from RNAcentral.
CAGCAGCAGCCGCGGUAAUACGUAGGUGGCAAGCGUUGUCCGGAAUUAUUGGGCGUAAAGCGUGCGCAGGCGGUUAGAUAAGCCAGAUGUGAAAUCCCCGAGCUCAACUUGGGAACUGCGUUUGGAACUGUUUAACUAGAGUGCGUCAGAGGGGGGUGGAAUUCCGCGUGUAGCAGUGAAAUGCGUAGAGAUGCGGAGGAACACCGAUGGCGAAGGCAGCCCCCUGGGAUGACACUGACGCUCAUGCACGAAAGCGUGGGGAGUAAACAGGAUUAGAUACCCGCGUAGUCCCUGUCUCUUAUAC